Molecule: transfer RNA, 75 nt
Filed under: Candidatus Heimdallarchaeota archaeon
Lineage: Archaea; Promethearchaeati; Candidatus Heimdallarchaeota
Description: tRNA-Ile
Rfam family: tRNA
About the family: Transfer RNA (tRNA) molecules are approximately 80 nucleotides in length. Their secondary structure includes four short double-helical elements and three loops (D, anti-codon, and T loops).
Source: RNAcentral
GGGCCUAUAACUCAGCCUGGUUAGAGUGACCGGCUCAUAACCGGUCUGUCGCUGGUUCGAAUCCGGCUAGGCCCA